UACGUAGGGGGCAAGCGUUAUCCGGAUUUAUUGGGUGUAAAGGGCGUGUAGGCGGGAAUGCAAGUCAGAUGUGAAAACUCAGGGCUCAACCCUGAGCCUGCAUUUGGAACUGUAUUUCUUGAGUGCUGGAGAGGCAAUCGGAAUUCCGUGUGUAGCGGUGAAAUGCGUAGAUAUACGGAGGAACACCAGUGGCGAAGGCGGAUUGCUGGACAGUAACUGACGCUGAGGCGCGAAAGCGUGGGGAGCAAACAGG
RNAcentral lists this ribosomal RNA (253 nucleotides) under uncultured bacterium. Its description in RNAcentral is "partial 16S ribosomal RNA". It matches the Rfam family "Bacterial small subunit ribosomal RNA", at positions 524 to 776 of the family's 1533-position model. The record is from RNAcentral.